AUGGUGCUGAUUUUCAGCAAUAUCUAUAAAUGCCAAGCCUCACGGCUUGAAAGCAGCUGCUUCGGGGUCACAGAGGCCAGGCCCCUCCGAUUCCAGGCAGGGGAACAGCUCUUCAGACUUUUCAAGACGAUCUCCAUGGUGCUGAUUUUCACCCCUGAGGGCAAGCGUGAAGAAAGGAGCACAAUGAAAGGACUCACCCUCAGAUCUGAAGGCUCAGCUCCCCGCCUUAGUGAGAGUGCCACGUUGAUGCCAUUGGGCAAAAGUGGGGCCUUUUACAAAAAUAGAAUCAAGCUGCACCGGUGGCAUUUUGGGAAACAAAGACUCUUCAGGGAAAAAGAGAUUUGGGUUUUGUAUUUUAAUGAGUGCAGCAGUACAGAGCGUCCCAGGGCCACAGGUAGAAAGUCAACAGUUGAGCCUCAAAGAAAUGAGGAAAAUGAAACUAAGAGGCGUCCAGCAGGUCAGAGCCACUGUCAUCCCUGCUGGGAUGUUUCUAGCAUCCCAGAAACAUGGACCGGUCAGGAAUCUGAGCUGAAAGGACUUGACAUCACAAGACCCCAGAACGGUGGUCCAGUGUGGAGAGGAUGUCUGAGAUCACUGCCCACCAGCCAGCAGAGUGGAGGUAAACACAUGCAAAACACAUUUCAACUGACGGCAAAUAAAAAGUUGUACAACUGGCUUAGGACGAAUGGUAUUAAUACCUGCCAGAUCCAGAUUGGGAAUCCAAAGUCCAAAGGUUGAUUAAGCAGCCUUUGCAUCCAGAUUGAAGUUUUUUGUUUGUUUGUUUGUUUUAGAAAAAAGACCAGAUGAAUCUAUAUUGGAUGGAGAAGCAUCAAUUUCAGCAUGUCAAUUUAAAAUGACAGCCUUAGUUUUAGGAAGAAUGUUUAUUAAAAUCAUAUUUUCUGUUUCCCAUUACCUCCCUGAUGCUCCUGCAUAAAUCUUUUCUCUCUGUCAAAUGCCUGGCAGCCUUUGGUGACGGCUGAUGAGAAAUCAGAGCAAUCUGAAAGCCAUCUGUCUUUCCCUCCCCACCAUCACCUCCCACCUCCCACCAAAGUACUUUUGGGAAGUUAGAGCCGAGAAUUUAUACAGCGUGCUUCCUUCUAUCCGAUCAGGAGAGAGCCCAAGAUCUCACAACUGAAAUUUACUUCCAGAUCAUGAUGAAGUUAUUGGCUUUCUGUUGACAUAAAUUACACGGGUACUACAAUAGAGCGAGCAGCAUUUUCUCUGUGCUGCCUGGUUUUUGUAAUAGCAGCUGGAUUUCUCAGUGUAAUUUUUCUUAAGGUCAAAUUUUCUCCUCCAAGUAGAGUCAGUGAUAUGAAACUUGUCAGAACAAAUCUAGAUAUAUCUUUAUGUUCUUGCAUUAUUCAAUUCCCAGAUUCUAUCAGGAAGGUAGACAAAGAGAAAAUAUAUCAUUAGCAACAAGAUAAAUAUCAG
RNAcentral lists this long non-coding RNA (1431 nucleotides) under Ovis aries (sheep). RNAcentral describes it as "lncRNA (ENSOARG00000026645.1)". Lineage: Eukaryota; Metazoa; Chordata; Mammalia; Artiodactyla; Bovidae. The record is from RNAcentral.